Molecule: ribosomal RNA, 504 nt
Filed under: uncultured bacterium
Lineage: Bacteria
Description: partial 16S ribosomal RNA
Rfam family: Bacterial small subunit ribosomal RNA
Source: RNAcentral
GACGAACGCUGGCGGCGUGCUUAACACAUGCAAGUCGAACGGUGAAGCGCUUGCCUUUUUGGUGGGUGUGGAUGAGUGGCGAACGGGUGAGUAACACGUGAGUAACCUGCCCUCUUCUUCUGGAUAACCUCAUGAAAGUGGGGCUAAUACGGGGUAUUCCGGGUCUGUCGCAUGGCGGGUUUGGGAAAGAUUGCGCCUUUGGGUGUUUUCGGUGGGGGAUGGGCUCGCGGCCUACCAGCUUGUUGGUGGGGUGUUGGCCUACCAAGGCGGUGACGGGUAGCCGGCCUGAGAGGGUGGACGGCCACACUGGGACUGAGACACGGCCCAGACUCCUGCGGGAGGCAGCAGUGGGGAAUAUUGCACAAUGGGCGCAAGCCUGAUGCAGCGACGCCGCGUGAGGGAUGGAGGCCGUCGGGUUGUGAACCUCUUUCGCCAGUGAAGCAGGCCUGCUCCUGUGUGGGUGGGUUGACGGUAGCUGGAUAAGAAGCGCCGGCUAACUACGCG